GACGAACGCUGGCGGCGUGCUUAACACAUGCAAGUCGAACGGACCCUUUGGGGUUAGUGGCGAACGGGUGAGUAACACGUGGGUGAUCUGCCCUGCACUUUGGGAUAAGCCUGGGAAACUGGGUCUAAUACCGGAUAGGACUACGCACUGCAUGGUGUGUGGUGGAAAGCUUUUGCGGUGUGGGAUGGGCCCGCGGCCUAUCAGCUUGUUGGUGGGGUGAUGGCCUACCAAGGCGACGACGGGUAGCCGGCCUGAGAGGGUGACCGGCCACACUGGGACUGAGAUACGGCCCAGACUCCUACGGGAGGCAGCAGUGGGGAAUAUUGCACAAUGGGCGCAAGCCUGAUGCAGCGACGCCGCGUGAGGGAUGACGGCCUUCGGGUUGUAAACCUCUUUCGCCAGGGACGAAGCGCAAGUGACGGUACCUGGAGAAGAAGGACCGGCCAACUACGUGCCAGCAGCCGCGGUAAUACGUAGGGUCCGAGCGUUGUCCGGAAUUACUGGGCGUAAAGAGCUCGUAGGUGGUUUGUCGCGUUGUUCGUGAAAACUCACAGCUUAACUGUGGGCGUGCGGGCGAUACGGGCAGACUGGAGUACUGCAGGGGAGACUGGAAUUCCUGGUGUAGCGGUGAAAUGCGCAGAUAUCAGGAGGAACACCGGUGGCGAAGGCGGGUCUCUGGGCAGUAACUGACGCUGAGGAGCGAAAGCGUGGGGAGCGAACAGGAUUAGAUACCCUGGUAGUCCACGCCGUAAACGGUGGGUACUAGGUGUGGGUUUCCUUCCUUGGGAUCCGUGCCGUAGCUAACGCAUUAAGUACCCCGCCUGGGGAGUACGGCCGCAAGGCUAAAACUCAAAGGAAUUGACGGGGGCCCGCACAAGCGGCGGAGCAUGUGGAUUAAUUCGAUGCAACGCGAAGAACCUUACCUGGGUUUGACAUGCACAGGACGCCGGCAGAGAUGUCGGUUCCCUUGUGGCCUGUGUGCAGGUGGUGCAUGGCUGUCGUCAGCUCGUGUCGUGAGAUGUUGGGUUAAGUCCCGCAACGAGCGCAACCCUUGUCUCAUGUUGCCAGCACGUUAUGGUGGGGACUCGUGAGAGACUGCCGGGGUCAACUCGGAGGGAGGUGGGGAUGACGUCAAGUCAUCAUGCCCCUUAUGUCCAGGGCUUCACACAUGCUACAAUGGCCGGUACAAAGGGCUGCGAUGCCGUGAGGUGGAGCGAAUCCUUUCAAAGCCGGUCUCAGUUCGGAUCGGGGUCUGCAACUCGACCCCGUGAAGUCGGAGUCGCUAGUAAUCGCAGAUCAGCAACGCUGCGGUGAAUACGUUCCCGGGCCU
This 1330-nucleotide ribosomal RNA is filed under the name uncultured bacterium. Its description in RNAcentral is "bacterial SSU rRNA". It matches the Rfam family "Bacterial small subunit ribosomal RNA", at positions 28 to 1381 of the family's 1533-position model. The record is from RNAcentral.